Fimicolochytrium jonesii is the source of this 94-nucleotide non-coding RNA. The record is from the annotation of a RefSeq genome assembly. NCBI's taxonomy places the organism in Eukaryota, Fungi, Chytridiomycota, Chytridiomycetes, Spizellomycetales, Powellomycetaceae.
GCUCCAGUGGCGUAGUGGUUAACGCACUGUACUUAUAGGUGGCCAUUCCUCCCAUGCAAUGCAGUGAUCGCGGGUUCGAACCCCGCCUGGAGCA